GGGGGCGAAUGGACUCGACCGGGCGAUGCGUCUCGUCGUGGUGGCGCGCCGAGGACCCCGGAUUCCUCGUCAAUCCCCCGGGAAACCUGAAGUUGCCAACAGCAACCUCGCUCUUGCCGCCUAGCCUGAACCGCUAGGAGCAACGGACACCCUCUCUCGCCCGCGGGGAGGGACCGUCCGUCAUCCGUGGGCUGGCUCCCCGACCGCCGCCGGUCGUUCGGGGGGUGAGACUUCACUGGCUGGUCCUCGAAGGAGCCCGUCCGCGGGCGCCUCGGGGUACGACAAAAACCGCGGACUACGCGCGUAGUCGCUCGACGGGGCCCGUCCCGGGACGGGGGUUCGAUUCCCCCCGCCUCCACCA
This 361-nucleotide transfer-messenger RNA is filed under the name Planctomycetota. RNAcentral's name for it is "JAEUHO01 sp020851795 Standard tmRNA". It matches the Rfam family "transfer-messenger RNA". From Rfam's summary of the family: Bacterial tmRNA, also known as 10Sa RNA or SsrA, is named for its dual tRNA and mRNA-like properties. RNAcentral also lists the same sequence under 1 other name. The record is from RNAcentral. Lineage: Bacteria; Pseudomonadati.